Molecule: ribosomal RNA, 652 nt
Filed under: uncultured marine bacterium
Lineage: Bacteria
Description: bacterial SSU rRNA
Rfam family: Bacterial small subunit ribosomal RNA
Source: RNAcentral
UGCAGUCGAGCGGAACGAUGAUAGCUUGCUAUCGGGCGUCGAGCGGCGGACGGGUGAGUAACGCGUAGAUAUCUACCUAGUAGUGGGGAACAACCUGUGGAAACGCAGGCUAAUACCGCAUACGUCCUACGGGAGAAAGGGGGCCAAUUCUUGAAAGCUCUCGCUAUUAGAUGAGUCUGCGUCGGAUUAGCUUGUUGGUGAGGUAAUGGCUCACCAAGGCGACGAUCCGUAGCUGGUCUGAGAGGAUGAUCAACCACACUGGAACUGAGACACGGUCCAGACUCCUACGGGAGGCAGCAGUGGGGAAUAUUGCACAAUGGGCGAAAGCCUGAUGCAGCCAUGCCGCGUGUGUGAAGAAGGCCUUAGGGUUGUAAAGCACUUUCAGUUGUGAGGAAAGGGUAUUGGCUAAUAGCCACUAUCUGUGACGUUAACAACAGAAGAAGCACCGGCUAACUUCGUGCCAGCAGCCGCGGUAAUACGAGGGGUGCGAGCGUUAAUCGGAAUUACUGGGCGUAAAGCGUACGUAGGCGGUUUGUUAAGCAAGAUGUGAAAGCCCAGGGCUCAACCUUGGAACUGCAUUUUGAACUGGUAAACUAGAGUACUGUAGAGGGUGGUGGAAUUUCCAGUGUAGCGGUGAAAUGCGUAGAGAUUG